AUUGAACGCUGGCGGCAUGCUUUACACAUGCAAGUCGAACGGCAGCACGGGCUUCGGCCUGGUGGCGAGUGGCGAACGGGUGAGUAAUAUAUCGGAACGUACCCAGAAGUGGGGGAUAACGUAGCGAAAGAUACGCUAAUACCGCAUACGAUCUAUGGAUGAAAGCAGGGGACCGCAAGGCCUUGUGCUCCUGGAGCGGCCGAUAUCUGAUUAGCUAGUUGGUGAGGUAAAGGCUCACCAAGGCGACGAUCAGUAGCUGGUCUGAGAGGACGACCAGCCACACUGGAACUGAGACACGGUCCAGACUCCUACGGGAGGCAGCAGUGGGGAAUUUUGGACAAUGGGCGCAAGCCUGAUCCAGCAAUGCCGCGUGAGUGAAGAAGGCCUUCGGGUUGUAAAGCUCUUUUGUCAGGGAAGAAACGGUAGAGGCUAAUAUCCUUUGCUAAUGACGGUACCUGAAGAAUAAGCACCGGCUAACUACGUG
This 484-nucleotide ribosomal RNA is filed under the name uncultured bacterium. RNAcentral's name for it is "partial 16S ribosomal RNA". It matches the Rfam family "Bacterial small subunit ribosomal RNA", at positions 30 to 507 of the family's 1533-position model. The record is from RNAcentral.